AUUGUUCGCAAUGGGCGCAAGCCUGACGACGCAACGCCGCGUGGAGGAUGAAGAUCUUCGGGUCGUAAACUCCUGUCGAGUGGGAAGAACAGCUUCGGGGCUAACAUCCCUGGAGCCUGACGGUACCACUAAAGGAAGCCCCGGCUAACUCCGUGCCAGCAGCCGCGGUAAUACGGGGGGGGCAAGCGUUGUUCGGAAUUACUGGGCGUAAAGGGCUCGUAGGCGGCCAACUAAGUCGUAUGUGAAAUCCCCAGGCUCAACCUGGGAACUGCAUCCGAUACUGGAUGGCUUGAAUUCGGGAGAGGGAUGCAGAAUUCCAGGUGUAGCGGUGAAAUGCGUAGAUAUCUGGAGGAAUACCGGUGGCGAAGGCGGCAUCCUGGACCGACAUUGACGCUGAGGAGCGAAAGCUAGGGGAGCAAACGGG
This 424-nucleotide ribosomal RNA is filed under the name uncultured bacterium. Its description in RNAcentral is "bacterial SSU rRNA". It matches the Rfam family "Bacterial small subunit ribosomal RNA", at positions 361 to 776 of the family's 1533-position model. The record is from RNAcentral.